Molecule: ribosomal RNA, 210 nt
Filed under: Acanthurus leucosternon
Lineage: Eukaryota; Metazoa; Chordata; Actinopteri; Acanthuriformes; Acanthuridae
Description: partial 16S ribosomal RNA
Source: RNAcentral
UGCCAAACAGCUAAUCCGAAACCCAAAAAACAACAAACCCUUAUAAAUAACCCCAAAACCCCUAAUAAAACACCAAACAAACCAUUUUCCCCCCUUAGUAUAGGUGAUAGAAAAGGACAUUAGGAAUGACAGAAAAAGUACCGCAAGGGAACGCUGAAAGAGAAAUGAAACAACCCAGUUAAGCCAAUAAAAGCAGAGAUUCCACCUCGU